RNAcentral lists this transfer RNA (75 nucleotides) under Candidatus Nealsoniibacteriota bacterium. RNAcentral's name for it is "Candidatus Nealsonbacteria bacterium tRNA-Glu". It matches the Rfam family "tRNA". From Rfam's summary of the family: Transfer RNA (tRNA) molecules are approximately 80 nucleotides in length. Their secondary structure includes four short double-helical elements and three loops (D, anti-codon, and T loops). The record is from RNAcentral. Lineage: Bacteria; Candidatus Nealsoniibacteriota.
GGCCCUGUCGUCUAGUCCGGUCUAGGACACCAGAUUCUCAAUCUGAUAACACGGGUUCAAAUCCCGUCAGGGCUG